CAAAAGACCUCCUCCCCCAGCACAGCCAAGUGCAGACCAUCUCAGACACCUGCACUCAGGCCUGUAGUCUAAUCAUCCUCUCUAUGUGGACCUGCUGGGUAAACCCACGAGGAACCCAAGAACGGGCUCCCACAGCCCUCCCAUUCCGUUCCGGUUUUGGGGUUGGGGCCUCUCCAGGCCUUCACUCACCCUUCUGCCUAUGAUCUCACCUGAUCCCACUGAAACGCUUUCCUCCCAUCUCCCUUCCCUACCCCACUGUGCCCACACGACUAUGACAGUGUAAAGGGUGACACUGGGGUGGGAGACCAGUGCAAAGAACGAUUUUAAACCUCAGAACUAGCCAUAACUCUCAGAGGAAUAAGGAAAUGUAUCAGGCAGUGCAUUUUGCAAAAACUGUGACCUUAUCUCUUUCCCAAUGUCAUUGCUACAAGUAUAAGUUUCAGUGAUUUUGUAUGUGCCAACUGUCACUCGGCUGUGCAGGCCAGGCCCUUCUCUGUCACACUACUCUGUUCCACCGUUGUGACUUGAAGGCAGGCAUCCGCCAAAGGUAAGUGAAUGAGUAACUGUGUUCCAAGGAGAUGUUGUUUAUAGAUGCUAAAAUUUUGAUUUUUGUGUAAGCCCAUGUUAUUAAAUUUUUUUUUUUAUCCAAAACAUUUAUAGAUAUAGGACUGAGGCAUAAGUCUGUGGUAGAGCGCCUGCCCUGCAUACAUGAGACUCUGGCUUGAGUUGCCAGCACCCCUGACAUUAUAACUGUAUUCUCUUACUUCAUGGGUCAUGCAAAACCCAGGUUUGAUCUAUGCAUGAACAGGAUAGCCAAGGUUGCCUACAUGAUUUCUUCCAAGGUCUACAAAGAUCCUUGAGGUCAAGUAUUGUUUUCCAUGAUGUCUUUGUCAGAGCUGAGAGCUUCUGUACUCAGAAUCCAGUGAGAUCUUCCUCUACGCCACAGGCUGUCACCUCCUUAGGAGUCCCCAAGGUACAGUGGAAGGUGGAGCAUAGAAGCACAUUAUUUUUUAGUGUGUGUAUGUCUCUGUGUGUGGGUGCUCAUGAACAUGCAUUUGUGUGCAUGUGGAAAUCAGAGGACGACCUUGGCUGUCAUCCUCAGGGACACCAUCUACCUCCUUUGCUGCAAGAGGCCUGGAGUUCAAUUAGGCUAGACUGGCUGACCAGACAGUCCCAGGGGACCCUCCUACCUUCCCAGUGCUGGGAUGAUAGUGUGUGACGUCUUCCCACGGUUCUGGGGAUUGGACUCAGUUCCCGUGCUCAGAAGGACACUGCCACUCAGAGCCACUCUGUAACUCCCUACAAUGGCUCAGUCCGCUCUAGUCCCCUGAAGCCAGGAGGGAAAUGCUGGAAGGGAAAUAGUCUACAGAACUCAGGAACAGCAGGCCUGGCCACCUGCUUGGGACACUGAAUGAGGUACAAGGACCAAACACACGGCUGUGGUGACAUGACUUGCUUCCAGCAGGGUGCCUAUGGCCACAUGCUCCCCAGGAGGAAGCCAAUGUUCCUUACACAAGGCAAUCUGGAAUAGGAAAAGUCCUCCCAGAGGGAAACCUCUGACCGUCCUACUCAAGGCCAGCACGUGGGGAACCGUGAGCAGGAUCUUCUACGGAAGGAAACCCCCACUGUUCUGCCAUUUGGUUGAGCUGUGUGGGAAAGAUCUCCAAAGUUCAUCAAUGAAGAAAGUAGAAGAAGGAAGCGGAGGAGGGCUGCAGAAGAGGAGAAAGAGACCAUUAUAACAGUGUAUGACGAGAACAGUGAUUAUUUAAUCCUGGAAUUGCCCAACUGGCACCCUCAUUUUUCCAGACGAAGCACUGUGACAGCUGUGUAGUCAUGCCUGGGUUUUAUGUGGGUGCUAGGGCUCCAAACUCAAGGACCCAUGCUUGCUCAGCAGUCUCUGAACCCACAGAGCCCUCUCCCAGCCCCAAGUAUCUGUAUUUUUAAAGCCUCCAUGGUGGUUCAAAUCUGCGAGAAAAGUUGCACAACACUGUUCCCGGGCUUCUGAAUCCAUUGACGAUGUGAGACCCGGGCAUACGCGCUUUGGCAAGUGUGAAAUAUUAAGGACAGACCAGACCCCUAAUGUGAGAGUCUAUUUUCUACAAGGUAGGUUACUUCGGAUUCAGUUUAAAGGGAACAGAAUUGCCACCUGGAAUUGGGGGAUUUGCAGACUCUAGGAGAAAUGUAGUGGAUUGUUAAAAUGGGCAAGAAUUAGAAAGUUUUGGCGUAAUGAGUGCUUUUGUGACUGUACAGAAGAAGAGAUUUAAGUAUCAUUAGAAAUUAACGAGAUACUACUUCCACUAUGAAGCUGAGUAUGAGAACGGAAUUACUCAGAGCAAGAAAAGAGUCAUUCAUGUAGUGAUUUCAAGAGAAAAGCUUGUUACUCACUUCUCCCAGUGGCUAGAAUACUAUUGAAACCACCUGCCAGGAACCAUUUAAAAAUUAACUACCAUGUGGGUUAUUUUUUACAUGCAAGCACCUAGAACAAACACCUGCUCAAAGUUUACAACGCUGAAAAUGUAUUUGCCAAGAAACACAAUGAGACAUGCUCAAACUCAGAAAAUAGUCAAUUGUAGUGUCACUUUGACAUUGGUGAACAAAAUAUUUGUUAGUGUUUGAUUUUCAUUCCUGUGACUUGAUCUUUUUGUAGUCUCUUAACCAGAGACAGGAUGUUCACACACACACACACACACACACACACUCACACACACACUCACACACACUCACACACACACACAUGAACAUACACAUACAUAUACACACAUGCACAUUCACACAUAUACAUACAUAUACUCACAUACACAUACACACACACAUACACACACACACACACUCACACACACACUCACACACACACACACACUCACACACACACACACACACACACACACACACACUAUGAACAUACACAUACAUAUACACACAUGCACAUUCACACAUAUACAUACAUAUACUCACAUGCACAUACACACUCACACACAUACACACCAAAACAACAAAGCUUAGAAUUUAGAGUACAAGAAGGUUAGAAUCCCACCCUUAUUAGGUUCUGGAAGGUGACCUUGGAUAAUGACAACUCUCUAAACCUCAGUUUUAAAAGAGGGUUGAGGAGGAGGAGGAGGAAGCUCGUGAUGGUGAUGAUAAUGCUGGUGAUUCAUGAUGGUCGUAGUGGUCAUGAUGGUGAUGGUGAUGAUGGUGGUAGUUGUGAUGGUAAUGGUGGUGAUUAAACACCCAUAACAUAGGUUAUUUACAAAUACUAGGCUAUUCCUAGAACAGCAUUUUGGUAGAUGCUACUCAUUCCUCAAGUCAUGUUCUAUUAUAAACUAAGGAGCCCAUAGCCCUUACCUAU
Peromyscus californicus insignis is the source of this 3346-nucleotide long non-coding RNA. RefSeq lists it as uncharacterized. The record is from RefSeq and is a predicted model, not a curated record. The transcript is spliced from 4 exons. Lineage: Eukaryota; Metazoa; Chordata; Mammalia; Rodentia; Cricetidae.